GGGGGCGAACAGGUUUCGACGGGGAAGAAGUGAAUUUAGCAUAAAGCGUGUGGCAGUGUGGAUUCUGCCUUAAAAGCCACAAAAAAAUAAACGCAGACAAUAGCGAAAAUUUAGUUGCUGCUUAAAUUAGCACAACACGCCACUCUAAAUAACACGAGUUUAGUUUAAGGCGUUCAAAAUUCGUGAAACUUUAAAGCAGAUUUAGCGUUUUGUUGCUUUAAAAAAUUUAAAACGCUGGCAAGGUUAUGCUUGUUUAUGACCAUAGCUUUGCAAGGAGAAAAGAGCAUAAACUACACAUCGUAGAAAAGUUAAGUUCACCUUUUUCGGACGUGGGUUCAAUUCCCACCGCUUCCACCA
Molecule: transfer-messenger RNA, 357 nt
Filed under: Candidatus Caccopulliclostridium gallistercoris
Lineage: Bacteria; Bacillati; Bacillota; Clostridia
Rfam family: transfer-messenger RNA
About the family: Bacterial tmRNA, also known as 10Sa RNA or SsrA, is named for its dual tRNA and mRNA-like properties. Its role is to liberate the mRNA from a stalled ribosome.
Source: RNAcentral